Molecule: long non-coding RNA, 1077 nt
Organism: Thunnus maccoyii (southern bluefin tuna)
Lineage: Eukaryota; Metazoa; Chordata; Actinopteri; Scombriformes; Scombridae
Exons: 3
Source: RefSeq, a predicted model, not a curated record
UUCCUAGGAUGGCGAAGUCAUGGUUCGCCUUACUCUGCCUCUGAUUGGCUAGUUUUUGUUCCCUUUGUUGGCUGGGUUUGGGAAUGCGAGGUUGAGAUUGGUUAGAGUUAGAGAAGGAAUACCACAGUAAGCCAAUCAGAGGUAGAGUAGGGCGGGUCAUGACUUCGCCAUCCUAGAAAAAGAAAUCAUCGCGUCAGGUGCUAUGUCUGCGCGCGCCUGCCGAGAAGUUCAAGCGGCUGGCGAGAGCGCGCGCAGAUAAAAGCUUCAACUGAGGUGGUGAUGCAGCUAAGGACAGUGAAAAUUGAACUGGAUUUGUCAGUUGGCCGGAUAGACAAUUCUUGUGGAUUUUGCUCUGUCAUCUUGACAUUGUGUGUGAUUGUGUGAGUGGAGACAGGUGUGCUGGAGUCACAGCAGAGCCCCACCAGCUGCAACCCGUUCCAUAAUCAAGACUUCUGCUUCUACUCAGCCCUGCCAGAUCUACAUUGCCAGAUUGUAGCCUCUGCUCCAGUCAGUUUACGCUUCAAGGUUUCUCCUGCAUUUAUCAGUUUUCUUGUUGUUGCCUGUUUUCUCUAGCCUGACCCUGUCUCCUGUUCCCUGCAGUCCUGUCUGCUCUGGCUUCUGUCCCUGUCUCCUGUUCCCUAUAGUACCUCUGCCCUGUCUCCUUUCCCAUGUCUCCUCAGCCUUUCUUCCCUGCCCUUGACCCCCACUCUACCCAGCUUCUACGAGUUCCAUUCUGGACCUGCUCCCCUUGCCCCAGCCUGCCUCAUCUCCGGGUUCCCAGCUACCAGCCCAAGCCCCAGUUUCCCAGCUACUAGUACUAGUUUCCCCUGGCCUGCUUUAAUAAAUACCCCGUCCUACUGUGUCCCUGUCUCCUUGCCUCUGUGCGUCUGCACUUGGGUUCACCUGCUCGACCCCACGUAACAGAAAUGCCAUUUGACCACACGUUUUAGACUCAUGUCCAACCCGCUCACGCUAACCUUGAAUGUGAUCUGUAUGUAAUAUGGAUUGUGGCAUGUUUAUUAACAAGCUGUUCUGGUCACAUAAAUGCUAUGUACUAAUGACACAAUGAUAAGCUCU